Molecule: ribosomal RNA, 707 nt
Filed under: uncultured Bacillus sp.
Lineage: Bacteria; Bacillati; Bacillota; Bacilli; Caryophanales; Bacillaceae
Description: bacterial SSU rRNA
Rfam family: Bacterial small subunit ribosomal RNA
Source: RNAcentral
GAAGGUUUUCGGAUCGUAAAACUCUGUUGUCAGGGAAGAACAAGUAUCGGAGUAACUGCCGGUACCUUGACGGUACCUGACCAGAAAGCCACGGCUAACUACGUGCCAGCAGCCGCGGUAAUACGUAGGUGGCAAGCGUUGUCCGGAAUUAUUGGGCGUAAAGCGCGCGCAGGCGGUCCUUUAAGUCUGAUGUGAAAGCCCACGGCUCAACCGUGGAGGGUCAUUGGAAACUGGGGGACUUGAGUGCAGAAGAGGAGAGUGGAAUUCCACGUGUAGCGGUGAAAUGCGUAGAGAUGUGGAGGAACACCAGUGGCGAAGGCGACUCUCUGGUCUGUAACUGACGCUGAGGCGCGAAAGCGUGGGGAGCGAACAGGAUUAGAUACCCUGGUAGUCCACGCCGUAAACGAUGAGUGCUAAGUGUUAGAGGGUUUCCGCCCUUUAGUGCUGCAGCAAACGCAUUAAGCACUCCGCCUGGGGAGUACGGCCGCAAGGCUGAAACUCAAAGGAAUUGACGGGGGCCCGCACAAGCGGUGGAGCAUGUGGUUUAAUUCGAAGCAACGCGAAGAACCUUACCAGGUCUUGACAUCCUCUGACAACCCUAGAGAUAGGGCGUUCCCCUUUUAGGGGACAGGAUGACAGGUGGUGCAUGGUUGUCGUCAGCUCGUGUCGUGAGAUGUUGGGUUAAGUCCCCGCACGAGCGCAACCCU